ACGAAGGGGGCGAGCGUUGUUCGGAAUCACUGGGCGUAAAGGGCGCGUAGGCGGCCCUUCUUGUCGCGUGUGAAAGCCCCGGGCUCAACCUGGGAACUGCAUUCGAUACUGGGCGGCUAGAGUAUGAGAGAGGGAGGUAGAAUUCCACGUGUAGCGGUGAAAUGCGUAGAUAUGUGGAGGAAUACCGGUGGCGAAGGCGGCCUCCUGGUUCAAUACUGACGCUGAGGUGCGAAAGCGUGGAGAGCAAACAGGA
This 253-nucleotide ribosomal RNA is filed under the name uncultured prokaryote. Its description in RNAcentral is "partial 16S ribosomal RNA". It matches the Rfam family "Bacterial small subunit ribosomal RNA", at positions 525 to 777 of the family's 1533-position model. The record is from RNAcentral.